GAAAGGCUAAUCAAGCCUGGUGAUAGCUGGUUCUCCCCGAAAGCUAUUUAGGUAGCGCCUCGGACGAAUACCAUAGGGGGUAGAGCACUGUUUCGGCUAGGGGGUCAUCCCGACUUACCAAACCGAUGCAAACUCCGAAUACCUAUGAGUACUAUCCGGGAGACAGACUGCGGGUGCUAACGUCCGUAGUCAAGAGGAAAACAAUCCAGACCGCCAGCUAAGGCCCCAAAAUCAUAGUUAAGUGGGAAACGAUGUGGGAAGGCAUAGACAGCUAGGAGGUUGGCUUAGAAGCAGCCACCCUUUAAAGAAAGCGUAAUAGCUCACUAGUCGAGUCGGCCUGCGCGGAAGAUGUAACGGGGCUAAAACUAUGUGCCGAAGCUGCGGAUUUGACAUUAGUCAAGUGGUAGGGGAGCGUUCUGUAAGCCGAUGAAGGUGUAUUGAGAAGUAUGCUGGAGGUAUCAGAAGUGCGAAUGCUGACGUGAGUAACGACAAAACGGGUGAAAAACCCGUUCGCCGAAAGACCAAGGGUUCCAGUCCAACGUUAAUCGGGGCUGGGUGAGUCGACCCCUAAGGCGAGGCCGAAAGGCGUAGUCGAUGGGAAAUUGGUUAAUAUUCCAAUACUUCUGUGUAAUGCGAUGAGAGGACGGAGAAGGUUAAGUCAGCCUGGCGUUGGUUGUCCAGGUGGAAGGAUGUAGGUAUGUAUCUUAGGCAAAUCCGGGGUACUCUAUACUGAGAUCCGAUAGCAAGCUGUACUUGUACAGUGAAGUGGCUGAUACCAUGCUUCCAGGAAAAGUCUCUAAGCUUCAGUUACACAGGAAUCGUACCCGAAACCGACACAGGUGGUCAGGUCGAGUAGACCAAGGCGCUUGAGAGAACUCUGCUGAAGGAACUAGGCAAAAUGGUACCGUAACUUCGGGAGAAGGUACGCUGUUGUUGGUGAUGGAACUUGCUUCCUGAGCUGACGACAGCCGCAGAAACCAGGCCGCUGCAACUGUUUAUUAAAAACAUAGCACUCUGCAAACACGAAAGUGGACGUAUAGGGUGUGAUGCCUGCCCGGUGCUGGAAGGUUAAUUGAUGGGGUUAGCGUAAGCGAAGCUCUUGAUCGAAGCCCCAGUAAACGGCGGCCGUAACUAUAACGGUCCUAAGGUAGCGAAAUUCCUUGUCGGGUAAGUUCCGACCUGCACGAAUGGCAUAAUGAUGGCGGCGCUGUCUCCAGCAGAGGCUCAGUGAAAUCGAAAUCGCUGUGAAGAUGCAGUGUACCCGCGGCUAGACGGAAAGACCCCGUGAACCUUUACUGCAGCUUGACACUGAACUUUGACCUUACUUGUGUAGGAUAGGUGGGAGGCUUUGAAGUUGGAACGCUAGUUCCAAUGGAGCCGUCCUUGAAAUACCACCCUGGUAAUGUUGAGGUUCUAACUCUGUCCCGUUAUCCGGGACGAGGACCGUGUCUGGUGGGUAGUUUGACUGGGGCGGUCUCCUCCUAAAGAGUAACGGAGGAGUACGAAGGUGCGCUCAGCGUGGUCGGAAAUCACGCGUAGAGUAUAAAGGCAAAAGCGCGCUUAACUGCGAGACCCACAAGUCGAGCAGGUACGAAAGUAGGUCUUAGUGAUCCGGUGGUUCUGUAUGGAAGGGCCAUCGCUCAACGGAUAAAAGGUACUCUGGGGAUAACAGGCUGAUACCGCCCAAGAGUUCAUAUCGACGGCGGUGUUUGGCACCUCGAUGUCGGCUCAUCUCAUCCUGGGGCUGAAGCAGGUCCCAAGGGUAUGGCUGUUCGCCAUUUAAAGAGGUACGCGAGCUGGGUUUAGAACGUCGUGAGACAGUUCGGUCCCUAUCUACCGUGGGCGCUGGAAAUUUGAGAGGAUCUGCUCCUAGUACGAGAGGACCAGAGUGGACGAACCUCUGGUGUACCGGUUGUGACGCCAGUCGCAUCGCCGGGUAGCUAUGUUCGGAAGGGAUAACCGCUGAAAGCAUCUAAGCGGGAAGCCUACCUCAAGAUAAGAUUUCCCUAGGAAUUUAUUCCUCUAAAGAGCCGUUCGAGACUAGGACGUUGAUAGGUUGGAUGUGGAAGCAUAGUGAUAUGUGAAGCUGACCAAUACUAAUUGCUCGUGAGGCUUGACUAU
RNAcentral lists this ribosomal RNA (2121 nucleotides) under Acinetobacter pittii ATCC 19004 = CIP 70.29. Its description in RNAcentral is "bacterial LSU rRNA". It matches the Rfam family "Bacterial large subunit ribosomal RNA", at positions 823 to 2925 of the family's 2925-position model. The record is from RNAcentral. Lineage: Bacteria; Pseudomonadati; Pseudomonadota; Gammaproteobacteria; Moraxellales; Moraxellaceae.